RNAcentral lists this long non-coding RNA (282 nucleotides) under Olea europaea (common olive). RNAcentral describes it as "long non-coding RNA (OEUR_LNC008887)". Lineage: Eukaryota; Viridiplantae; Streptophyta; Magnoliopsida; Lamiales; Oleaceae. The record is from RNAcentral.
UAUUGUCCUCCGAAUACACCCACGUGGAUAGGGGUAAAGUCGUAGAACCGACGCCUGGACUGCCAAAUUGCAAUUGUAUUUGACCAGCUGAAAGAAGUUCAUGUCUGGCCGCAUAUACUUUGUAGUGGCGGUUGAGAUGUGUAGUACCAAUUCCUUUUUGUCAUGUCAAUAUUUGUUGGCAGUAUGUAAAUACUACCUUAGAUUCUACAAGGCCAUCGACGACUUUUUCCGUUGAAAUCAACUUAAAGUGAUCACAACAUUUUGCUUGUUUUUGCCCUUUCA